This 293-nucleotide ribosomal RNA is filed under the name uncultured eukaryote. RNAcentral's name for it is "partial 18S ribosomal RNA". It matches the Rfam family "Eukaryotic small subunit ribosomal RNA", at positions 6 to 305 of the family's 1831-position model. The record is from RNAcentral.
GGUUGAUCCUGCCAGUAGUCAUAUGCUUGUUUCAAAGAUUAAGCCAUGCAAGUCUAAGUAUAAGCUUUUAUACGGCAAAACUGCGAAUAGCUCAUUACAACAGUUAUAAUUUACACGACGAUCAUUACUAAAUGGAUAUCCAUGGUAAUUCUGGAGCUAAUACAUGCAAAAACACCCGACUUUACGGAAUGGGUGGCAUUCAUUAGCCUUAGAACCAAUCAGAUAGCAAUAUCUGUCCUUGGUGAUCAUAAUGACCGAGCGGAUCGCAUUUACUGCGACGGUUCGUUCAAGUU